Mauremys reevesii (Reeves's turtle) is the source of this 337-nucleotide long non-coding RNA. RefSeq lists it as uncharacterized. The transcript is spliced from 3 exons. The record is from RefSeq and is a predicted model, not a curated record. NCBI's taxonomy places the organism in Eukaryota, Metazoa, Chordata, Testudines, Geoemydidae.
UGCAGGGGAAUUGUCCAGGAGCGCUGUCUGGAGGAGAGACUCUCAAAAGUGGACCUGAACAUCCUUCUAAGCAGAUGUGAACAGUCCUCAGCUUUCUGCCUCCUGCAUAACUGGCUUACCAAGGGAAAAGAAGUCACGUAUCAGUCUACUGUCCUCAUGCGAAGGAAAGCGAAACCGACGAGACCGCGAUCAUUGUCGAAAUCAGGCAUUAGCUGUACAUCUGGGAGCGGAGCAGUCACCGCUGUCAGUGAGAUAAAUGUCUGGUUUGGUGAGGGAUCUGCUCAUGGCCCACCUGGCUCCAGUUUGCAGAGGAAUCAUCCAGGAGCCCUCGCCGGAC